Molecule: transfer-messenger RNA, 352 nt
Filed under: bacterium
Lineage: Bacteria
Also listed under: 1 other name
Description: G020352555 sp020352555 Standard tmRNA
Rfam family: transfer-messenger RNA
About the family: Bacterial tmRNA, also known as 10Sa RNA or SsrA, is named for its dual tRNA and mRNA-like properties. Its role is to liberate the mRNA from a stalled ribosome.
Source: RNAcentral
GGGGGCGAACGGCUUCGACGGAGUGCCUGAGGAGCCUGAGUGCAUGGCGAGGUUCCUCUGUCACCUCGUAAUCCCGGCAGAGGAAACACAGCUGCCAACAACAGCUACGCACUGGCUGCCUAACAAACGGUAGCCCCUUGAGCCGCGAUUUCACCCGGCGCGGGUCUCAGGGUCUAAUAGGGUGAUCAAGGCCGUCGCUGGCCUCAGGGCGGCGGUUGGAUCAUCUCUGGGGCUGGCCAGCUUCCGCCUGUCAGUCGGCAAAGAAGCGGGCGAGACCGGUAGAUUGACUAACCAUGUAGAUACCAGGUUCCGAACUCUUCGGACGCGGGUUCGAUUCCCGCCGCCUCCAUUA